GCUGGGUGCAGUGGCUCACGCCUGUAAUUCCAGCAGCUGGGGAGGCUGAGACAGGAGAUUUUCAAGUUCAAAGCCAGCCUCAGUAAAAGCGAGGCUGCUAAGCAACUCAGUGAGACUCUGUCUCUA
This 126-nucleotide small RNA is filed under the name Marmota monax (woodchuck). Lineage: Eukaryota; Metazoa; Chordata; Mammalia; Rodentia; Sciuridae. The record is from RNAcentral.